This is a non-coding RNA of Rhinolophus ferrumequinum (greater horseshoe bat), 575 nucleotides long. Lineage: Eukaryota; Metazoa; Chordata; Mammalia; Chiroptera; Rhinolophidae. The record is from the annotation of a RefSeq genome assembly.
CAGCCUGUGACAUAAUCUUGAGGGUAGUUUGUCUUGCUUAGCACACGAGCCAAGAUUUUCUAGAAGAUUCCACCAAAGGAUCAAGAAAGCAGAGGAACAGUGCUCUCAGCUUUGGUUAUUCCCAACCAAAACCUGCUGCUGCUUCUCCGCCAGCCAUGCUGUCUGCUUCCUGCUUGGGACUUGUGAUCUUGUUGAUACUGAGGGACACCUAUGGGGAUUCAGUGAACCAGACAGAAGGCCCCGUUAUCCUCCCCGAGGGGGCAUUUCUGACCUUGAAUUGUACUUACCAGACCAGCUAUUCAGCUGUUCUUUACUGGUAUGUCCAGUAUCAAAACAAAGAGCCUAAGCUCCUCCUGAAAAGCUCAUCGGAUAAGAAGGCGAACAUCCGUGGUUUUCACGCCGAUCUUGUUAAGAAAGACAGCUCUUUUCACCUGCAAAAACCCGCAGUGGAAACGACCGACUCAGCCGUGUACUACUGUGCCCUGGCAGACACAGUGAGGGAAGCUGCAGGGGGAGCUGAGCACAAACCCAGAGGGCCUCAGUGGGGCGGAAGGGGAGCAGCCUGGCUAUGUUAG